GGGGGCGAAACGGCUUCGACGGGGAGGGAGGAGACUGGAACAGCAGGCCGUGCACCUCAGGUCCACACGUUAAACGGUCCUGGGAAACGAUAGCUGCGAACGAAAACUUCGCGCUGGCUGCGUAAGGCAACUUCGUAGCCCGAUCCGCUCCUCGCCGCUGCCCGUCGAGGGGGGAUGGAUCGUCAUCAAAACGGGCUGGUCUCGCGGCGCGCCUACUGCCGCGUGACGAGAGCCCGGCUUCGGUCGGGAUGGGGCUUACCCGGCGGCUGGCGAGUCUGCGGCAGGUCGUCCGGGGACAAGACUCAGCGGACUAAGCCUGUAGCGGUUCCUGUCACGCCUUUCUCGGACGUGGGUUCGACUCCCACCGCCUCCACCA
Molecule: transfer-messenger RNA, 376 nt
Filed under: Gemmatimonadota bacterium
Lineage: Bacteria; Pseudomonadati; Gemmatimonadota
Description: Gemmatimonadetes bacterium (soil metagenome) transfer-messenger RNA
Rfam family: transfer-messenger RNA
About the family: Bacterial tmRNA, also known as 10Sa RNA or SsrA, is named for its dual tRNA and mRNA-like properties. Its role is to liberate the mRNA from a stalled ribosome.
Source: RNAcentral